Molecule: RNase P RNA, 454 nt
Filed under: Planctomycetota bacterium
Lineage: Bacteria; Pseudomonadati; Planctomycetota
Description: Planctomycetes bacterium (bioreactor metagenome) partial RNase P RNA component class A
Rfam family: Bacterial RNase P class A
About the family: Ribonuclease P (RNase P) is a ubiquitous endoribonuclease, found in archaea, bacteria and eukarya as well as chloroplasts and mitochondria. Its best characterised activity is the generation of mature 5'-ends of tRNAs by cleaving the 5'-leader elements of precursor-tRNAs. Cellular RNase Ps are ribonucleoproteins.
Source: RNAcentral
UCGGUCGGCCGGACGGUCGCCGCGGAGCAGUGGACAGUGCGCAGCAGGCAGUGAGCAGAUAAGAGCCGGACCGGUUUUGACUGCCCACCACGCACUGCCCACUGUCCACUGCUCCGGGGAGGAAAGUCCGGGCUUCACAGGGCGCGGUGGUGGAUAACGUCCACCCCCGGUAACGGUCGCGGGCUUCCCGGCUCGCACCGCCAACGGGCGGGAAAGUGCAACAGAAAGUGUACCGCCGGGGUGGUGUUUCGUGUUCGGUGGUUUGUAUUUUGGAAGGGCGAGGGCGCUCGCGUUUCUCGUUACCAAAAUACUAAACACCGAACACGAAACACCGCCCCGGUAAGGGUGAAAAGGUGCGGGGCGCGAGCCCUUAAUGUAAGAGCGCACCAGCGGCGGGGUGACCCGUCGGCUCGGCAAACCCCACCGGAAGCAAGGUCAAGCAGAGGACAGGGCC